AGUGUGGCCGUUUCGGGAUUUGGGCGGACAUAUGACUCGCUGCGCAAAACAGAAAAGAAGAAUAAGUGUGUGGCAGUGGCAGCAGUAGUAGUGGUGGGAAGAAGCCUGAAGAAAAACGGCAGUGUGGCAGUCGUAAGGAGGUGGAGAAGAGAAGGAAGGAGAAGACAAGAAGAAGGAAUUUCGUGAAAAACUAGGGAUUUACUACGCGACUCUCUCUUUUUGUUGUUUUUCUUGUUUUGCGCCCGAGUUCUUUCUCGUUUUUAUUGUUCUGUUUCACAAUUUCCCGAAGAAAACCCGAGUAAAAAAACGGUGUUUCGGUCGCUACGCGAGAAAACUGCUGCAAUUUUGCUUUCGAAAAUAAAAAAAGGAAAUAUUCGCGAUUUCUUCUUCCUCGUUGUGCUUUUACAAACCAUACCGUUUAAUUUUAAUUCGCGAAACGCAAGAUUAAGAGUUUUCCCCGUGAGGUACGUGAGCGUGUGUGUUUGUGUGCAUUUCGUGUGUAUGUGUGUGUGAGCGUUUUCCUCCACGCACGCACACACCUAGAGAAACCAACAAAAAGAAAAAUCAUCAUCCGUCAUCACUUGCGCGGAGUUUUUCCGGCUAACUUUGAUGGUCAAUCUGCACGUCGUUAUAAUCAAAACGUAAAUAUUACAAAAAGUAAUUAGAAUUUGCGUGCUACGCGGAAGCAAACAGAAGAAACCAAGAAGAAGAAGGGGAAGAUAAUACAAGCAAAAUAUAAUAUAUUGAAAUCAAAAAA
Molecule: long non-coding RNA, 757 nt
Organism: Culex quinquefasciatus (southern house mosquito)
Lineage: Eukaryota; Metazoa; Arthropoda; Insecta; Diptera; Culicidae
Exons: 2
Source: RefSeq, a predicted model, not a curated record